CUUUCAGGAAUGCUCUCAUCGUUAAUUUAAUGGAUUGCUAUCCAUCAACAAAUGGUCUAUUUCCUCACAUUCUUCUCUUGCCUGUUGUGCUCUGACACUAGGCACGUACUAAAUUUACAAUGGAGUUGUCAGGCUUUUGAACUUGGCUCUA
Long non-coding RNA from Lolium rigidum, 151 nucleotides. RefSeq lists it as uncharacterized. The record is from RefSeq and is a predicted model, not a curated record. The transcript is spliced from 2 exons. NCBI's taxonomy places the organism in Eukaryota, Viridiplantae, Streptophyta, Magnoliopsida, Poales, Poaceae.